GGUAAACUUAGUUUCUUUCCAACGAAGACUGGCUUUCUCUACCACAACAUCUCUACCACAACAUAGAAGUAGCCCAAACAUGUCUUGACUUGUUUUUUUCAGUCACCUCUAAAAAUGUCAUUGUUCCCAUGUCGAAGCUGUUUCAUAGUUUUGUUGACUUUGGCCAGAGCUAAAGAAUGCAGACAGAGAACGUCCUCUUUCAC
Molecule: non-coding RNA, 203 nt
Organism: Pelobates cultripes (western spadefoot toad)
Lineage: Eukaryota; Metazoa; Chordata; Amphibia; Anura; Pelobatidae
Source: the annotation of a GenBank genome assembly